UACGAAGGGUGCAAGCGUUACUCGGAAUUACUGGGCGUAAAGCGUGCGUAGGCGGUUCGUUAAGUCUGCCGUGAAAGCCCCGGGCUCAACCUGGGAAUGGCGGUGGAUACUGGCGGACUAGAGUGCGGUAGAGGGUGGUGGAAUUCCCGGUGUAGCAGUGAAAUGCGUAGAGAUCGGGAGGAACAUCUGUGGCGAAGGCGGCCACCUGGACCAGCACUGACUCUGAGGCACGAAAGCGUGGGGAGCAAACAGG
RNAcentral lists this ribosomal RNA (253 nucleotides) under uncultured bacterium. RNAcentral's name for it is "partial 16S ribosomal RNA". It matches the Rfam family "Bacterial small subunit ribosomal RNA", at positions 524 to 776 of the family's 1533-position model. The record is from RNAcentral.